GCCAGCAUGGUGCAGUGGUUUGAGUGUUGGACUAUGACUCUGGAGACCAGGGUUCAAAACCCUGGCUUGACC
This 72-nucleotide transfer RNA is filed under the name Phrynosoma platyrhinos (Desert horned lizard). RNAcentral's name for it is "tRNA-OTHER". The record is from RNAcentral. Lineage: Eukaryota; Metazoa; Chordata; Lepidosauria; Squamata; Phrynosomatidae.